UACAGAGGUCCCAAGCGUUGUUCGGAUUCACUGGGCGUAAAGGGUGCGUAGGUGGCGGGGUAAGUCUGAUGUGAAAUCUCCGAGCCUAACUCGGAAACUGCAUCGGAUACUGCCUUGCUCGAGGGUUGGAGGGGGGACUGGAAUACUUGGUGUAGCAGUGAAAUGCGUAGAUAUCAAGUGGAACACCAGUGGCGAAGGCGAGUCCCUGGACAACUCCUGACACUGAGGCACGAAAGCUAGGGGAGCAAACAGG
This 253-nucleotide ribosomal RNA is filed under the name uncultured bacterium. RNAcentral describes it as "partial 16S ribosomal RNA". It matches the Rfam family "Bacterial small subunit ribosomal RNA", at positions 524 to 776 of the family's 1533-position model. The record is from RNAcentral.